RNAcentral lists this long non-coding RNA (770 nucleotides) under Felis catus (domestic cat). Its description in RNAcentral is "lncRNA (ENSFCAG00000041987.2)". The record is from RNAcentral. Lineage: Eukaryota; Metazoa; Chordata; Mammalia; Carnivora; Felidae.
UGAUUAUGAUGUUGUUAACCCCAGCCAUUUUGCUGUAAUUGAUCCCUAUGGGCCUUUGUCAAUUGCUUCAGCCACACUAUAGAUGCAAAGCCAAAAGGUGCAGUGACCUGGAGCCCUAGUCUGCAAGGCCAAACGGUCACCCUUACUGCUAAAGCUAUCCUGAGCACAGCCUGCAGAAUGACCCAUCUUCCACAGGCGGCCCUGAGUUACCAGACGAAGAUUAAAUUGUGGUUGGAAUACUUCGGUUAAGGAUAGCAAUGUUUCUGAUAAGAUGCUAAUUUCUCGUGUGUCCCACAUGGGAUGUUUGAUUCAGUUCUGUGAUACUACCUGGGGCCUCUUGCAUGGCUGCUUACAUCAGUUUCAAACGCUAAUGGUGAAGUUUGGCACACAUCUGUUUCACAUCUGGCUUCCCGAUGCAACGCCUGCCUUGUGCUGCCUGCUUUGAGGUCAGAACAUAAUUGUGGUGGGUACCCCCAAGUGGGUGAGAAAAGGGCACUUCUGGUGAGUUGUCUGUUCCAUAUGCGGUAAUUUACAUAACUAUUGAUCUCUAGUAAUAAUGCUGAUUUUGCCCCUGAGUCCCCUUUAUAAAUCUUCAUUGGGUGGUCCCAGCGAAGACUCAAGGCUGGAAGAAGUAAAGUCACUUGCUCUGUGAGUGGCAGAACCCUGAGUCCUCAUCUUGUGUCCUCCUGCCUCUAUGGGUGGCAUUUGUCAAGUCCUCUCCACAUCAAGGGGGGGGGGGUCACCUCCCUGAGACCCCCACACUCCACCCA